AUGUGUCAUGUAGCGGUGAAAUGCUUAGAUAUGACACAGAACACCGAUCGCGAAGGCAGCUCACUAAAUUGUAACUGACGCUCAUGCACGAAAGCGUGGGGAUCAAACAGGAUUAGAUACCCUGGUAGUCCACGCUGUAAACGAUGAUCACUCGAUGUUGGCGAUAUACUGUCAGCGUCUAAGCGAAAGCAUUAAGUGAUCCACCUGGGGAGUACGGCCGCAAGGUUGAAACUCAAAGGAAUUGACGGGGGCCCGCACAAGCGGAGGAGCAUGUGGUUUAAUUCGAUGAUACGCGAGGAACCUUACCUGGGCUAGAACGCAAGAUGACAGUUCGAGAAAUCGGAUCUUCCUUCGGGACAUUUUGCGAGGUGCUGCAUGGUUGUCGUCAGCUCGUGCCGUGAGGUGUCGGGUUAAGUCCCAUAACGAGCGCAACCCCUAUCUUUAGUUGCCAUCAGGUCAUGCUGGGGACUCUAGAGAAACUGCCUACGCAAGUAGUGAGGAAGGCGGGGAUGACGUCAAAUCAGCACGGCCCUUACGUCCAGGGCUACACACGUGCUACAAUGGCCGGUACAGAGGGUCGCUACCUGGUGACAGGAUGCUAAUCUCCAAAACCGGUCUCAGUUCGGAUCGAAGUCUGCAACUCGACUUCGUGAAGUUGGAUUCGCUAGUAAUCGUACAUCAGCAAUGGUA
RNAcentral lists this ribosomal RNA (690 nucleotides) under uncultured bacterium. RNAcentral describes it as "bacterial SSU rRNA". It matches the Rfam family "Bacterial small subunit ribosomal RNA", at positions 666 to 1359 of the family's 1533-position model. The record is from RNAcentral.